GGGGAAUUUUCCGCAAUGGGCGAAAGCCUGACGGAGCAAUACCGCGUGAGGGAUGACUGCCUAUGGGUUGUAAACCUCUUUUUUCAGGGAGGAAGAAAUGACGUGUACCUGAAGAAUAAGCAUCGGCUAACUC
RNAcentral lists this ribosomal RNA (133 nucleotides) under uncultured bacterium. RNAcentral describes it as "partial 16S ribosomal RNA". It matches the Rfam family "Bacterial small subunit ribosomal RNA", at positions 356 to 503 of the family's 1533-position model. The record is from RNAcentral.